CACGGGACAAAUUGGCAUUUAAUCCUUUUUUUUUUUUUUUCUUGUAAACGGCAUUUAAUCCUUCUUCUUCUUAGACAAUUAGGUCAAUUAAGUCUCAAAUUGGGCUAAAUUAACCAAAAAUAACUAGCAAUAACNNNNNGGCGCGGUCUCCAAAGAUCUAUAAUAUCGAUCACAAUCAAGUGCUACAAUGCAACUUCUGC
This 200-nucleotide unclassified non-coding RNA is filed under the name Hevea brasiliensis (rubber tree). The record is from RNAcentral. Lineage: Eukaryota; Viridiplantae; Streptophyta; Magnoliopsida; Malpighiales; Euphorbiaceae.